RNAcentral lists this ribosomal RNA (547 nucleotides) under Ptychadena sp. LMN-2018. RNAcentral's name for it is "partial small subunit ribosomal RNA". It matches the Rfam family "Bacterial large subunit ribosomal RNA", at positions 1834 to 2597 of the family's 2925-position model. The record is from RNAcentral. Lineage: Eukaryota; Metazoa; Chordata; Amphibia; Anura; Ptychadenidae.
CUUGAUGAAAUAUAAGAGGUCCAGCCUGCCCAGUGACAGGAUUUAACGGCCGCGGUACCCUGACCGUGCGAAGGUAGCAUAAUCACUUGUUCUUUAAAUAAGGACUAGAAUCAACGGCAUCACGAGGGUCACACUGUCUCCUUUUCCCAAUCAGUGAAACUGAUCUCCCCGUGAAGAAGCGGGGAUAGUUAUAUAAGACGAGAAGACCCCAUGGAGCUUCAAACUCAACAUUUACCUCUUAUAAAUUACUUUGUAUACUAAGGGGCCUACUUGUUAGUUUUGGGUUGGGGUGACCGCGGAGAACAAUACAACCUCCACAAUGAAAAGAAUAAAAUCCUAAUCCAAGAGCCACAUCUCUAAGAGUUAUUAAAAUAGCAUAAAAUGACCCGAAUUUUUCGAUCAACGAACCAAGUUACCCUGGGGAUAACAGCGCCAUCCACUUCAAGAGCCCAUAUCGACGAGUGGGUUUACGACCUCGAUGUUGGAUCAGGGUAUCCCAGUGGUGCAGCCGCUACUAAAGGUUUGUUUGUUCAACAAUUAAAACCCU